RNAcentral lists this unclassified non-coding RNA (828 nucleotides) under Hevea brasiliensis (rubber tree). The record is from RNAcentral. Lineage: Eukaryota; Viridiplantae; Streptophyta; Magnoliopsida; Malpighiales; Euphorbiaceae.
UGGAGUUUUUAUGGCUAAAAUAUAUCAAAUUUAACUUUAAAUUAAUUUUUAAUGCUCUUUAACUAAUAUUUUUAAGGAGGUACUUUUCUCGAUAAUAACUUUAACAACUAUGCCAAACAGACCCUCAAUCCCAUUUUACAUAACAGAUGUUAUGGAUGGGGGAUAUGGUGGCCUCUAAUUCCUAACCUAGAGCUCUAGAUGAACUUACACCCCGAGCCACAUUCCAUCAAGAGCUCAACAAAACACAUCCAUCCUAAGCCAACAAAGUUGAUUUGUACAUAGAACUUUUCAAUGGGGAUAAUCCGCAUUGACUUUUCAUUUACAAACCCCACUUAUUUUCUAUCCCACACUCUGAACUUUUCAUUAGACUCCAUAUAAUAUGUAGCAACAAUAAUCAUUCUCAAAUCGGUCAUGUAAAUAUUAUUUGAUAGUAUCUCACUUCUCCAAUUGACAUAUGAACUCCACCAUACUUUCUACAAGAAAUAUUUUCUCUUUUUUUAUGUCUUUACAACUGUUUGCCACGAAAGGGGACAAAGAGUAGAAAUAAGGAAAAAAAAUAGGAAGGUUGGAAAAAAUAUUUUCCAAUCAAGUAGAUCACCCAGCUCCAAAACACUCUUGUCCUUCAAAUCGGCUACCAAAGGGAGCUAAAUAAGUCAAAGGAAAAGACUUCACAUUAUAUCUCAUAACACUAGCAAAAAGGUCCCAUGAACUCCUUUACGCAAAGAUAUGAGGUAUACAAUCUCUUGUCCCCAAACACAUUGAAUUAAGCAAUUACUUCAAUGCAAAGUAAAAUACAUCUCAAAUGGAUAAUUAGUUGGACAUCUUCUU